RNAcentral lists this transfer RNA (84 nucleotides) under Paenibacillus sp. J23TS9. RNAcentral describes it as "tRNA-Cys". Lineage: Bacteria; Bacillati; Bacillota; Bacilli; Caryophanales; Paenibacillaceae. The record is from RNAcentral.
AAUCCUUAUAGAGGAGGGCACUCACGUUUUCUGCAGCCGGACCGAAAAGACGAGUCAACUGUUCCACAACCAGUUUAAGGAUUU